RNAcentral lists this ribosomal RNA (165 nucleotides) under uncultured soil bacterium. RNAcentral's name for it is "partial 16S ribosomal RNA". It matches the Rfam family "Bacterial small subunit ribosomal RNA", at positions 329 to 505 of the family's 1533-position model. The record is from RNAcentral.
GUCCAGACUCCUACGGGAGGCAGCAGUGGGGAAUAUUGCACAAUGGGCGAAAGCCUGAUGCAGCGACGCCGCGUGAGUGAUGAAGGCCUUCGGGUUGUAAACCUCUUUUGGCCGGGACGAAGCGAUCAGUGACGGUACCUGCAGAAGAUGCCCCGGCUAACUACG